GGUCUCAUUGGCUGGGGGCGCGGGGCGGGGCUCCGGGGGGCGCGCGCAGAGGUGGCUGCCAUGGAGGGAGCCGGAGCAGGAGCUGGUUUCCGGAAGGUAGAGCUGGCGGCAGGCAGCCAGAAGGACCAGCAGGGUUUCACCCACCCGCUGCUCUGCUUGUCACCUGUUGGACUGCUCUGGGAGCUGGUGAGCAGGCUGCUGCACGUGCACUUUAAGGAUGACAAGACCAAAGGUGCGGGUGGGGUGCAGUUAGUGGGGACGCACUGCAGCUCAUGGCGGAGCUACUGAAGAUCUUCGUUGUGGGUGAGCCCAGGGCCCAGGCUCCCUCCCAGGCACAGUGUUGAGGAUUCCUUUGUUUUUCCCACGGGAAAACCAAGACACGUUUUCCCGUUCCCCACAAGGGCCUGAACUUGGUCUCCUGAUCCUGUUGGUCAGGUGCUAGAGCCUGGUUCUGGGGGCUGCCCGUGGAUGUGGGUGGGGACACUGGCCCAGGCUGAGGCCCUCGGUGGGCCCAGGUUUGAGAUCUCCCAGCAUCCCCCACUUCUUGAGUUUCUCACUGCAGAAGCAGCAGUCCGUGGGGUGCGGCAGGCCCAGGCAGAAGAUGCCAUUCUCGUGGAUGUGGACCAGCUGGAGAAGGUGCUCCCGCAGCUGCUCCUGGACUUCUAGGGAUCUCAGCUGUGGCUGAGGCCACCCCAGGGAAGCCCCUGGUCCACAGAAGCAGGUCUUGUGUUUCUAGUGGCUUCUGGUUGCAGACGAAGAAGGACCUGAGGGAUUUGGAGCUGAUUCAAACAAGCUCCCAAGAUUCUCCAGCCUUUGCAGAGGGACAGGACUGCAGUGCACUGCCACCCUUGGAGUGCCCACUGGGGAAAGGCCCAUGGGGAGUCCCUGCCUGUCCCCUGGGGUCCUACAGGCAAGUGCUGGGAAAGGCCCAGCCAGCAGCCAGCAGGUAGACUGUUUACAAACAGCAGCCGGCAGCGCCGCCUCCUGGCCACAUUCCUGCCACUGACAUCAAAGCUGAUGUGACCCUCCCAGCCAUCCGGUAUUCCCCUUGGAAAAUGGUUCCCCAGGCUAUAAAUUUGUUCUCACAAAGCAACAUCAAUAAAUCAAAACUGUCUCUCCCA
Cebus imitator (Panamanian white-faced capuchin) is the source of this 1121-nucleotide RNA transcript. It is a transcript of the gene named centromere protein X, with no coding region annotated. The transcript has 6 exons. Lineage: Eukaryota; Metazoa; Chordata; Mammalia; Primates; Cebidae. The record is from RefSeq and is a predicted model, not a curated record.